This 679-nucleotide ribosomal RNA is filed under the name Tursiops aduncus (Indo-pacific bottlenose dolphin). RNAcentral's name for it is "partial 16S ribosomal RNA". The stretch from base 163 to 679 matches the Rfam family "Bacterial large subunit ribosomal RNA", at positions 568 to 1343 of the family's 2925-position model. The record is from RNAcentral. Lineage: Eukaryota; Metazoa; Chordata; Mammalia; Artiodactyla; Delphinidae.
ACUACAUCUAGCCCAUACUCCUCCUCAUCACUACUACUAUAAGUCAAUCAAAUAAAACAUUUACCAUACAUCUAAAGUAUAGGAGAUAGAAAUUUAAUUAUCAAUGGCGCUAUAGAGAAAGUACCGUAAGGGAAAGAUGAAAGAAUUAUUAAAAGUAGAAAAAAGCAAAGUUUACCCCUUGUACCUUUUGCAUAAUGAUUUAACUAGUAAUAAUUUAGCAAAGAGACCUUAAGUUAAAUUACCCGAAACCAGACGAGCUACUUAUGAGCAGUAACUAGAACAAACUCGUCUAUGUGGCAAAAUAGUGAGAAGACUUGUAAGUAGAGGUGAAAAGCCUAACGAGCCUGGUGAUAGCUGGUUGUCCAAGAAAGGAAUUUCAGUUCAACAUUAAACAAUACUAAAAACCAUAUUAAGUUCCAACGUAUGUUUAACUGUUAGUCUAAAAAGGUACAGCUUUUUAGAAAUGGAUACAACCUUUACUAGAGAGUAACAUAAAACUUAAACCAUAGUUGGCCUAAAAGCAGCCAUCAAUUAAGAAAGCGUUCAAGCUCAACAACAAAAACAAGUUUUAAUUUCAACAAUAAACAAAAAACUCCUAGCCUGACUAUUGGACUAAUCUAUUUAAUUAUAGAAGAAAUACUGUUAAUAUGAGUAACAAGAAAAAUUUUCUCCUUGCACA